GGGGUUGUGGCUCAGCGGUAGAGCUCCCGCCUUGCAUGUGUGAGAUCCUGGGUUUGAUCCUCAGCACCACA
This 71-nucleotide transfer RNA is filed under the name Marmota monax (woodchuck). RNAcentral describes it as "tRNA.Ala". It matches the Rfam family "tRNA". Rfam says of the family: Transfer RNA (tRNA) molecules are approximately 80 nucleotides in length. Their secondary structure includes four short double-helical elements and three loops (D, anti-codon, and T loops). The record is from RNAcentral. Lineage: Eukaryota; Metazoa; Chordata; Mammalia; Rodentia; Sciuridae.